Molecule: ribosomal RNA, 253 nt
Filed under: uncultured bacterium
Lineage: Bacteria
Description: partial 16S ribosomal RNA
Rfam family: Bacterial small subunit ribosomal RNA
Source: RNAcentral
UACGUAGGGCGCAAGCGUUGUCCGGAAUUAUUGGGCGUAAAGAGCUCGUAGGCGGCCUGUUGCGUCCGCUGUGAAAUCCCGGGGCUUAACCCCGGGCUUGCAGUGGAUACGGGCAGGCUGGAGGCAGGCAGGGGAGAACGGAAUUCCCGGUGUAGCGGUGAAAUGCGCAGAUAUCAGGAGGAACACCGGUGGCGAAGGCGGGUCUCUGGGCAGUAACUGACGCUGAGGAGCGAAAGCGUGGGGAGCGAACAGG